RNAcentral lists this long non-coding RNA (1278 nucleotides) under Calidris pugnax (ruff). RNAcentral describes it as "lncRNA (ENSCPUG00000018759.1)". The record is from RNAcentral. Lineage: Eukaryota; Metazoa; Chordata; Aves; Charadriiformes; Scolopacidae.
AUGGGCAACAAAUGCUCUUUAAACAGGCACGGGCUUGGGGCUAAACAUUUAACUGAUGAUGUAGUCCAGCCUUCACCUCUCCCCCCCCUCCCUUUACUGCUGCAUUGGAGUUACAAGCUGGUUUGCAGAUGCCCCCCUUCCAUGCUGCACUGGAGGGGAACACGUCUGCAGCCCCCCCUCUCCCCACUGCUGCACCGGGGGACCCGUCUGCAGCUGCCCCCCCCACCCCGUCCUCCCUGCUGCAAUGGGGGACGGGGUGCUCGGUGCUGCAGGAGCCGGAGCGGGGAGGGGGGGGGGGACGAGGCUCUGCAGCCCGGCAGCCGCCGAGUGUCGGGCUCCCUCUGCGGCACCCCUUCUCCCGCCGCACCCCCCCGAAACUACGCGGCUCUCCCCAAAAAGGGGUCACGGAGACGAACGGGGGUCCCCACAGCUCCCCUCAGGCAAAGGCGGGGAGGGGCAGGGAGAGGCAGGCGCCCCCUCCCCCUCCCGGCUCCAAGGACAUUUUGUUUUUCCUCCCAAGGACAAAGGACAAUGAGAAACGAGGAGACUCAGGCACUUACCCGGCGAAGAGCAGCCCGUCGGCAGGCACCGGGGGCCCUGAGAACGGGGCACUGCUCCCCUCCUCGCCCUGCCCGCGGUGAAGGGCGGCCCCGCGCCCGCCCGGCGAGGGAGACGCGCGGGCAGAGCUCCGCAGCCCGGCGCCAUUGCCCUCCGCCCGUCGGCAGCCCCGCACAGCAGCCAGGCUCGCUGCCCUCCUCCGUAGCCCCGCAACCCCCCUCAGAGCGCCGGGCCCAACUCGGCCCCCGACACCGGCACCCAGGGGCGGCUCGCCGGGCGUCCCCGCUCCGAGCGGCGGGGAAAGCGCCCGGGAGCCCGGCUGCAGCUGAGGCUGCGGCUGCUUCCCCGGCCAUCUUGUGCCGUGUGUGUGAGAGACUCUCUCCCGUCUCCUCUCAACUCCUUCCUCCCCUCCCCCCCGCACAACAUGGCCGCCCGCUCACACCUCGGCAUUCCCAUUGGCUCCUGUUCGCCUCCUCGCGCCCCCGACCCGCCCCGCCGCGGGCUUGCGCCCCGUCCGCACCAGCCUCCCCUCAGGGGGAAGAGGGCGGCGGGGAGUCGGGAGCAGGCUCGGAGCGCCCGCCCCGCCGGCGGGCCUGAGCCCUGCUGCCGGCCCCUCCUCAGCUCCACCCCGCCUCAUCGCAGCCGUGACCCUGCUCGGUCCGAGCACCGCCUUCUCUCCAAGCCCAAGCUUCAGAAAUCUCUUCAGAGCUCAGCCUGCCC